UACGAAGGGGGCUAGCGUUGCUCGGAAUUACUGGGCGUAAAGGGCGCGUAGGCGGACAGUUUAGUCAGAGGUAAAAGCCCAGGGCUCAACCUUGGAACUGCCUUUGAUACUGGCUGUCUUGAGUUCGGGAGAGGUGAGUGGAAUGCCGAGUGUAGAGGUGAAAUUCGUAGAUAUUCGGCGGAACACCAGUGGCGAAGGCGACUCACUGGCCCGAUACUGACGCUGAGGCGCGAAAGCGUGGGGAGCAAACAGG
Molecule: ribosomal RNA, 253 nt
Filed under: uncultured bacterium
Lineage: Bacteria
Also listed under: 1 other name
Description: partial 16S ribosomal RNA
Rfam family: Bacterial small subunit ribosomal RNA
Source: RNAcentral